This 443-nucleotide long non-coding RNA is filed under the name Crocodylus porosus (Australian saltwater crocodile). RNAcentral describes it as "lncRNA (ENSCPRG00005016906.1)". Lineage: Eukaryota; Metazoa; Chordata; Crocodylia; Crocodylidae. The record is from RNAcentral.
CACCAUUCGGGAUCCGGUCGGCAGCCCUGAGCCAGGACAGGCAACUCUCCAAGGCCCAAUGCCCCCAGCCUGGAAGGCAAAUUACUUUGGAGCCUGUUCCUGACAGAUAUGACCAGGGGUGGAUCCGGAGCAGGUGCAGUGGCACAGCUGGACCCCAUUUGGAUUGGGCUGCACCAGAGGACUUUUUUUUAAAGUCCCCAAAGCAGAUGUUGUAUUGCAGCCACUGGGGGACAUGAAGACAUCUGGAAGCAGAAGCCAUUCCAUGAGUAUGGUCUAAGAGUGAAUGCCUGUACUUCUCUGAUGCACUUAACUUAUGAUGGUUUUGCAUUGUAAUAAUUUUGGUGUCAUCACUCCAAACACCAGAAUCAUGAGGUCAUUAAAAUAAUGGUGGGUCCUUUUUAUUUGCCUCCUUGCUCCUGUUUGGGUAUGCUUGAGUCAUGCUG